GUAGGUGGCAAGCGUUGUCCGGGAAUUAUUGGGCGUAAAGCGCGCGCAGGCGGUUCUUUAAGUCUGAUGUGAAAGCCCACGGGCUCAACCGUGGAGGGUCAUUGGAAACUGGAGAACUUGAGUACAGAAGAGGAAAGCGGAAUUCCACGUGUAGCGGUGAAAUGCGUAGAGAUGUGGAGGAACACCAGUGGCGAAGGCGGCUUUCUGGUCUGUAACUGACGCUGAGGCGCGAAAGCGUGGGGAGCAAACAGGAUUAGAUACCCUGGUAGUCCAGGCCGUAAGCGAUGAGUGCUAAGUGUUAGGGGGUUUCCGCCCCUUAGUGCUGCAGCUAACGCAUUAAGCACUCCGCCUGGGGAGUACGGCCGCAAGGCUG
RNAcentral lists this ribosomal RNA (373 nucleotides) under uncultured organism. Its description in RNAcentral is "partial 16S ribosomal RNA". It matches the Rfam family "Bacterial small subunit ribosomal RNA", at positions 527 to 896 of the family's 1533-position model. The record is from RNAcentral.